CUUCCAAGAGCAGACUACUACUUCUGGCUACCAAAAGGUCUGGACCAUUCAUUAUGCAUUCCCAGCACAAGUGCUAACUUGGUGGCGGUGGUCCAAUAAUUAGGUGACCCGGAAGUGGGUUGGAGUUGUGAUUGUUAAAUGAGAAAUGUCUUCGCAAAGAUUCCAAUUUCGCGCUUAGACCACUGUCAUCGGGAAAAAAACUGUUGCCACCAUGAGUAAACGAAAAGUGAAAGAAACACACAUGCCAGUCGGCGAAUGUAUUUCUCAGGUUCAGAUGAUAUUGAGGGAGAGAUUCUGUCAUCAGAGACUUCCUGAAAAGCCAGUGGGAAUGGAAUCACAACACAAACACCUGCUGGAGCUGCUGAGGAGGACAGCUGUCCAUGGAGAGAGUAAUUCUGUACUCAUCGUUGGACCCAGGGGAUCUGGGAAAACAAUGCUCCUGAACUGUGUCUUGAGAGAGUUGCUGGAGGUGAAGGAUGUCAAUAAGAAUGUGUUACCUGUCCACCUGAAUGGUCUUUUACAGACUGAUGAUAGAAUAGCGCUCAAAGAAAUCACACGCCAGCUCAAUCUGGAGAAUGUUGUUGGAGACAAAGUGUUUGUAAGUGUUUACAGAAGUUAUGCUGUAUGUUUUGUCCCUUUGCAAUGUUUUUGCUUGCUGUUAAUGUUAUUUUCAGGGUAGUUUUGCAGAAAACCUGGCCUUCCUUCUUGAGGCGUUAAAGAAAGGUGAUCGUAGCAGCAGUCGUCCUGUCCUCUUCAUUCUGGAUGAGUUUGACCUGUUUGCCCACCAUAAGAACCAGACUCUGCUCUACAACCUCCUGGAUGUCUCCCAGUCUGCCCAGGCUCCCGUAGCUGUGAUCGGCCUCACCUGCAGACUGGCAUUAUGAGCCAUCCUCCCCUCAGCAGUCUCCUGUGACUUUACUCUACCUUCUUCUCUGGUGAUCACAACUGGUCUCAUCUCUACUUGCUGCAGGAUGUCCUGGAGCUGCUAGAGAAGAGGGUCAAGUCCAGGUUCAGCCACAGACAGAUCCACCUGCUCAGCUCCCUGAGCUUCAUACAGUACCUGGACAACGUCCGCUCACAGCUCAGCCUGCCACAAGACUUCCCCGACACCAAGUUCUAUGACGAGUGGAAUGACAGCAUCAAGACGCUAUGUGAAGACCAAUCAGUGGUGGACGUCUUACAAAGACAUUAUAACUCCAGCAAGGACUUCCGUUCCCUGCACUUGUUACUGAUGUUGGCUCUGAGCCGAGUGAGCGCAUCUAAACCUGCCAUCAAGCCCACUGAUCUUCUGGAGGCCAGUAGAGUCUGUAUGGUGGACUCUAAAGCAAACAUACUUCAUGGCCUGUCCAUUCUUGAACUGUGCCUGAUAAUUGCCAUGAAACACUUGAAUGACAUCUAUGAAGGAGAGCCGUUUAACUUCCAGAUGGUUCACAAUGAGUUCAAGAAAUUCCUGCAGAGGAAAUCCCAUUCUAUACAUAACUUUGACAAGCCAGUCGUCAUGAAGGCGUUUGAACACCUGCAGCAGUUGGAGCUGAUUAAGUCUAUGGACAGCUCCACAGCAAAGAUCCAGAAGGAGUACCAGCUGAUGAAACUUUUGUUGGACCACAGCCAGAUCAUGGAGGCCCUGCAGAAAUACCCACAAUGCCCCACAGAUGUUAAACAGUGGGCCAUGUCUGCUUUUGGUUAAAGGUACAUAUUCUUCUAUAUUGCGUCCAGUGGGGCAGUUAUGAAAGAUAUGGGACUGUGGCCUGGACCCUGUCCUCAGGGAUAGACAAGGAAUGACCUAACAAAUGUUUCUGCCAUGUGUUCAUUCCUUGUGUGUAAAUGUAAAUAUUUGGCUGUACUUAUUGAAUAAAGUCAUGCAAUUUUUUGGGUCA
RNA transcript from Oncorhynchus kisutch (coho salmon), 1877 nucleotides. It is a transcript of the gene named origin recognition complex subunit 4-like, with no coding region annotated. The record is from RefSeq and is a predicted model, not a curated record. The transcript has 14 exons. NCBI's taxonomy places the organism in Eukaryota, Metazoa, Chordata, Actinopteri, Salmoniformes, Salmonidae.